Molecule: ribosomal RNA, 468 nt
Filed under: uncultured bacterium
Lineage: Bacteria
Description: partial 16S ribosomal RNA
Rfam family: Bacterial small subunit ribosomal RNA
Source: RNAcentral
GACGAACGCUGGCGGCGUGCUUAACACAUGCAAGUCGAACGGAAAGGCCCUGCUUUUGUGGGGUGCUCGAGUGGCGAACGGGUGAGUAACACGUGAGUAACCUGCCCUUGACUUUGGGAUAACUUCAGGAAACUGGGGCUAAUACCGGAUAGGAGCUCCUGCUGCAUGGUGGGGGUUGGAAAGUUUCGGCGGUUGGGGAUGGACUCGCGGCUUAUCAGCUUGUUGGUGGGGUAGUGGCUUACCAAGGCUUUGACGGGUAGCCGGCCUGAGAGGGUGACCGGCCACAUUGGGACUGAGAUACGGCCCAGACUCCUACGGGAGGCAGCAGUGGGGAAUAAUGCACAAUGGGCGGAAGCCUGAUGCAGCAACGCCGCGUGCGGGAUGACGGCCUUCGGGUUGGAAACCGCUUUCGCCUGUGACGAAGCGUGAGUGACGGUAAUGGGUAAAGGAGCACCGGCUAACUACGUG